CAAGUUCUCAACCGCAUCAAUUUCUCAUUGAUGUGGCUUGGAUGUGGGGGAUUGCAGGCUUCUGUCAAAGGAGGUCGGCUCCCCUGAAAAACAUUAGUGGUAUCUGAGCAGAAGAAACUACUACAGGUGUGAUAAUUAUCUAUGCCUUUCAGUAUGCUGCAUAAAAACAGACUGCACUGCUUCUAACUAGUGAAAACCUCUCUACAAAGGAGGGGCCACGUUUGACGA
Molecule: unclassified non-coding RNA, 228 nt
Filed under: uncultured Inocybe
Lineage: Eukaryota; Fungi; Basidiomycota; Agaricomycetes; Agaricales; Cortinariaceae
Description: sequence contains ITS2
Source: RNAcentral